AUGACUGAAAUAAUUAAAAGAAGCAUGUUGUGGUGCUCACAGCCUCCUACCUGCUGGUCUGCAAAUGGGACCUCACCACACUGAGCUCCUUCCCAGCGCAGCAAAUCUCACUGACCACCAUCGACUGUGUUGGCCACUUCACCAUUCCAGGGGAAUCCAGAGAAGAGGGCUGUGGAAGUGGAGCAGAACAGCCAACUUGAGAGAACUGAGCUGACAGGACCAACUCUGGCAUUUUGGCUGCUGCAGGUGGGCCAAGCAAUCACCAGGAAGUGGCAUCCAUCCUCUGAAGAUAACAUGACCCAUGCUGGCCGAGAACAUUGAUCUGAAGCUGUAUCCUGCAAAUGCUGAGCCCAUUGGUGAGCUGUAGGAGGCCUUCAGC
Molecule: long non-coding RNA, 379 nt
Organism: Lepidothrix coronata (blue-crowned manakin)
Lineage: Eukaryota; Metazoa; Chordata; Aves; Passeriformes; Pipridae
Exons: 3
Source: RefSeq, a predicted model, not a curated record